Molecule: microRNA precursor, 164 nt
Filed under: Oryza brachyantha (malo sina)
Lineage: Eukaryota; Viridiplantae; Streptophyta; Magnoliopsida; Poales; Poaceae
Description: MIR812 microRNA precursor family
Rfam family: MIR812 microRNA precursor family
Source: Rfam by way of RNAcentral
UAUAAUUUUUGAGUCUUCGUCUUAUUCAAAUUUUUUUGCGAUUGAUAUUUUUGUUUUUAUUAGAUAAUAAAUCAUGAAUAGUACUUUACGUGUGACUAAUUUUUUUCUAAUUUUCUAAAAAUUUCUCAAAUAAGACGGAUAAUUAAACGUUGGACACGUAAAUC